RNAcentral lists this ribosomal RNA (479 nucleotides) under uncultured bacterium. RNAcentral describes it as "bacterial SSU rRNA". It matches the Rfam family "Bacterial small subunit ribosomal RNA", at positions 28 to 507 of the family's 1533-position model. The record is from RNAcentral.
GACGAACGCUGGCGGCGCGCCUAACACAUGCAAGUCGAACGGAGAUUACAGGCGGAAGUUUUCGGAUGGAAGCUUGUAAACUUAGUGGCGGACGGGUGAGUAACACGUGAGCAACCUGCCUAUCAGAGGGGGAUAACGAUUGGAAACGAUCGCUAAUACCGCAUGACAUAGCGGAAUCGCAUGGUUCUGCUAUCAAAGAUUUUAUCGCUGAUAGAUGGGCUCGCGUCCGAUUAGAUAGUUGGUGGGGUAACGGCCUACCAAGUCGACGAUCGGUAGCCGGACUGAGAGGUUGAACGGCCACAUUGGGACUGAGACACGGCCCAGACUCCUACGGGAGGCAGCAGUGGGGAAUAUUGCACAAUGGGGGAAACCCUGAUGCAGCGACGCCGCGUGGAGGAAGAAGGUCUUCGGAUUGUAAACUCCUGUUGUUGAGGAAGAUAAUGACGGUACUCAACAAGGAAGUGACGGCUAACUACGUG